AGAGUUUGAUCCUGGCUCAGAGCGAACGCUGGCGGCAGGCUUAACACAUGCAAGUCGAACGCCCUAGCAAUAGGGAGUGGCAGACGGGUGAGUAACGCGUGGGAACGUACCCUUUGGUUCGGAACAACUCAGGGAAACUUGAGCUAAUACCGGAUAAGUCCGUAAGGAGAAAGAUUUAUCGCCAAAGGAUCGGCCCGCGUUGGAUUAGCUAGUUGGUGGGGUAAUGGCCUACCAAGGCAACGAUCCAUAGCUGGUCUGAGAGGAUGAUCAGCCACACUGGGACUGAGACACGGCCCAGACUCCUACGGGAGGCAGCAGUGGGGAAUCUUGGACAAUGGGGGAAACCCUGAUCCAGCCAUGCCGCGUGAAUGAUGAAGGCCUUAGGGUUGUAAAGUUCUUUCGUUGGGGACGAUAAUGACGGUACCCAAAGAAGAAGCUCCGGCUAACUUCGUGCCAGCAGCCGCGGUAAUACGAAGGGGGCUAGCGUUGCUCGGAAUUACUGGGCGUAAAGCGCAUGUAGGCGGGUCGUUAAGUCGAGGGUGAAAUCCCAGAGCUCAACUCUGGAACUGCCUUCGAAACUGGCGGCCUAGAGAAUGGAAGAGGCGAGUGGAAUUCCGAGUGUAGAGGUGAAAUUCGUAGAUAUUCGGAGGAACACCAGUGGCGAAGGCGACUCGCUGGUCCAUUUCUGACGCUGAGAUGCGAAAGCGUGGGUAGCAAACAGGAUUAGAUACCCUGGUAGUCCACGCCGUAAACGAUGAGAGCUAGUUGUCGGCAAGCAUGCUUGUCGGUGACACAGCUAA
This 800-nucleotide ribosomal RNA is filed under the name uncultured bacterium. RNAcentral describes it as "bacterial SSU rRNA". It matches the Rfam family "Bacterial small subunit ribosomal RNA", at positions 8 to 855 of the family's 1533-position model. The record is from RNAcentral.